This 397-nucleotide ribosomal RNA is filed under the name uncultured bacterium. RNAcentral describes it as "partial 16S ribosomal RNA". It matches the Rfam family "Bacterial small subunit ribosomal RNA", at positions 523 to 918 of the family's 1533-position model. The record is from RNAcentral.
AUACGUAGGGGGCGAGCGUUAUCCGGAAUGAUUGGGCGUAAAGGGCGCGUAGGCGGCCCGUUAAGUCUGGGGUGAAAGUCCUGUUUUCAAGAUGGGAAUUGCUUUGGAUACUGCUGGGCUUGAGUGCAGGAGAGGAUAUCGGAAUUCCCGGUGUAGCGGUGAAAUGCGUAGAGAUCGGGAGGAACACCAGUGGCGAAGGCGGGUAACUGGACUGCAUCUGAAGCUGAGGCGCGAAAGUGUGGGGAGCAAACAGGAUUAGAUACCCUGGUAGUCCACACUGUAAACGAUGAAUGCUAGGUGUAAGAGGUAGCGACCCCUUUUGUGCCGGAGUUAACACAAUAAGCAUUCCGCCUGGGGAGUACGGACGCAAGGUUGAAACUCAAAUGAAUUGACGGGG